AAAAAAAGUAAAUCUGGCCUGCAAUAUAACAAGAUUCAAGUAAUAGUAGCAGUAGCAAUUCUUGGAAAAAGAGUAUCUGAAGGUAAGGACGGCUCCUUUUCUCAGAUGUACACUAUGGUCAGGCUCUCCUCCUUAUCCCAGACUUAAUAAAAAGAAUUUCUUAAAAGAAAUGGGAGAAAACAAAGGAUGAUAAAGGAGGAUUAUAACAUGGAUCGAAACUUAAAAGAGUCUCUCACAGAAAAUGAACCAAGAACAUACAUUAAGAAAGAUUUUGGAGAAAAGUUAGGGAAACCACUUCUAUAAAAAUCAAUCCAUGUUAAGUUCAGUUAAGACAAAAUAGAAGCAUUGGAAAUGUCAACUGGAUUAGAAUGUAGAGAAAUUCAAGGCCAAUCCAAG
Molecule: long non-coding RNA, 396 nt
Filed under: Amborella trichopoda
Lineage: Eukaryota; Viridiplantae; Streptophyta; Magnoliopsida; Amborellales; Amborellaceae
Description: long non-coding RNA (ATRI_LNC003382)
Source: RNAcentral